This 252-nucleotide ribosomal RNA is filed under the name uncultured Gardnerella sp. Its description in RNAcentral is "partial 16S ribosomal RNA". It matches the Rfam family "Bacterial small subunit ribosomal RNA", at positions 103 to 355 of the family's 1533-position model. The record is from RNAcentral. Lineage: Bacteria; Bacillati; Actinomycetota; Actinomycetes; Bifidobacteriales; Bifidobacteriaceae.
CGGGUGAGUAAUGCGUGACCAACCUGCCCCAUGCUCCAGAAUAGCUCUUGGAAACGGGUGGUAAUGCUGGAUGCUCCAACUUGACGCAUGUCUUGUUGGGAAAGUGUUUAGUAGCAUGGGAUGGGGUCGCGUCCUAUCAGCUUGUAGGCGGGGUAAUGGCCCACCUAGGCUUCGACGGGUAGCCGGCCUGAGAGGGCGGACGGCCACAUUGGGACUGAGAUACGGCCCAGACUCCUACGGGAGGCAGCAGCU